This 458-nucleotide ribosomal RNA is filed under the name uncultured bacterium. RNAcentral describes it as "partial 16S ribosomal RNA". It matches the Rfam family "Bacterial small subunit ribosomal RNA", at positions 338 to 795 of the family's 1533-position model. The record is from RNAcentral.
CCUACGGGAGGCAGCAGUGGGGAAUAUUGCACAAUGGGGGAAACCCUGAUGCAGCGACGCCGCGUGAGUGAAGAAGUAAUUCGUUACGUAAAGCUCUAUCAGCAGGGAAGAAACACUGACCUUACGGUCAGCAGACGGUACCUGAGUAAGAAGCCCCGGCUAACUACGUGCCAGCAGCCGCGGUAAUACGUAGGGGGGAAGCGUUAUCCGGAUUUACUGGGGGUAAAGGGGGCGUCGACGGUGCGCCAAGUCUGGAGUGAAAUGCCGCGGCUUAACUGCGGAACGGCGUUGGAAACUGGCGAACUAGAGUGCGGGAGAGGUAAGCGGAAUGCGUAGUGUAGCGGUGAAAUGCAUAGAUAUCACGCAGAACUCCGAUUGCGAAGGCAGCAUACCGGCGCUCAACUGACGCUCAUGCACGAAAGUGUGGGUAUCGAACAGUAUUAGAUACCCUAGUAGUC